AGCCAUCACCCAGUCUUCUCUUAUGCUGUAUGUCUAUCUGUAACUGAGUACCAGGAGCGACCUGGACUAUCCAGGAGCGACCUGGAAUGGCUAUCUCAUGCCAUAUCUCUGUAGUAGUAUCUUAUCUCAUGUCAAGGGCUAAGGAUCAUCCAACGUUCAUCCACACCACAACAACAACUUAUGCAAUGCAUAAAAUUCGUGGAUUCUAAUGCAAUACAACCUAUUACAUAACAUGGCAUUUUAUGAUGCAUGGAUCAUGCUAGAAUCGUGUCAUUUCUCAAAAUAAAAUAUUCAGUUUAGUUCCACUCACCUCUAGCCAAUGCUGGCUAACUCUGGGCCAACUCUAACUCUGGAGCCUCCUCGGUUCCUCGGUC
RNAcentral lists this long non-coding RNA (374 nucleotides) under Manihot esculenta (cassava). RNAcentral's name for it is "long non-coding RNA (MESC_LNC009139)". Lineage: Eukaryota; Viridiplantae; Streptophyta; Magnoliopsida; Malpighiales; Euphorbiaceae. The record is from RNAcentral.